GACGAACGCUGGCGGCGUGCCUAAUACAUGCAAGUAGAACGCCGACGGAGGAGCUUGCUUCUCUGGCUGAGUUGCGAACGGGUGAGUAACGCGUGGGUAACCUGCCUGGUAGCGGGGGAUAACUAUUGGAAACGAUAGCUAAUACCGCAUAAGAGUAGACGUCGCAUGACAUUUGCUUAAAAGUUGCAAUUGCAUCACUACCAGAUGGCCCUGCGUUGUAUUAGCUAGUUGGUGGGGUAACGGCUCACCAAGGCAACGGUACAGAGCCGAGCUGAGAAGGUGAACCGCCACAAUGGGAAUGAGAAAAGGCCCAGGAUUCUACGGGGAGGAGCAGUAGGGGAUCUUCGGCAAUAGAGCGAAGGCUGACCGAACAACGCCGCGGGAGGGAAGGAGGUCUUCGGAGCGGAAAACUCUGUUGUAAGAGAAGAAAGAGUGUGAGGGUAGAAAGUUCACGCUGUGACGGUAUCUAACCAGAAAGGGACGGCUAACUACGUG
This 495-nucleotide ribosomal RNA is filed under the name uncultured bacterium. RNAcentral's name for it is "partial 16S ribosomal RNA". It matches the Rfam family "Bacterial small subunit ribosomal RNA", at positions 28 to 507 of the family's 1533-position model. The record is from RNAcentral.